Molecule: ribosomal RNA, 253 nt
Filed under: uncultured bacterium
Lineage: Bacteria
Description: partial 16S ribosomal RNA
Rfam family: Bacterial small subunit ribosomal RNA
Source: RNAcentral
UACAGAGGGGGCAAGCGUUGUUCGGAAUUACUGGGCGUAAAGGGCGCGUAGGCGGCCCGCUAAGUCGAACGUGAAAUCCCCGGGCUCAACCCGGGAACUGCGUCCGAUACUGGCAGGCUUGAAUCCGGGAGAGGGAUGCGGAAUUCCAGGUGUAGCGGUGAAAUGCGUAGAUAUCUGGAGGAACACCUGUGGUGUAGACGGCUUACUGGACCACGACUGACGCUGAGACACGAAAGUGUGGGGAGCAAACAGG